This 477-nucleotide ribosomal RNA is filed under the name Prevotella sp. oral taxon 314. RNAcentral describes it as "bacterial SSU rRNA". It matches the Rfam family "Bacterial small subunit ribosomal RNA", at positions 28 to 492 of the family's 1533-position model. Lineage: Bacteria; Pseudomonadati; Bacteroidota; Bacteroidia; Bacteroidales; Prevotellaceae. The record is from RNAcentral.
GAUGAACGCUAGCUACAGGCUUAACACAUGCAAGUCGAGGGGAAACGGCAUUGAGUGCUUGCACUCUUUGGACGUCGACCGGCGCACGGGUGAGUAACGCGUAUCCAACCUUCCCAUUACUGUGGAAUAACCUGCCGAAAGGCAGACUAAUACCGCAUGGUCUUCGUUGACGGCAUCAGAUAUGAAGUAAAGAUUUAUCGGUAAUGGAUGGGGAUGCGUCUGAUUAGCUUGUUGGCGGGGUAACGGCCCACCAAGGCGACGAUCAGUAGGGGUUCUGAGAGGAAGGUCCCCCACAUCGGAACUGAGACACGGUCCAAACUCCUACGGGAGGCAGCAGUGAGGAAUAUUGGUCAAUGGACGUAAGUCUGAACCAGCCAAGUAGCGUGCAGGAUGACGGCCCUAUGGGUUGUAAACUGCUUUUGUAUGGGGAUAAAGUCAAUCACGUGUGAUUGUUUGCAGGUACCAUACGAAUAAGGA